AUACUCCGAGAACUGAAAGGCUUUUUGAAGUCUUCGGAUGGAUAGAAGAACCCCUGAUGCCGUCGAGCCAAGAAAAGUUUCUAAGUUUAGCUAAUGUUGCCCGUACCGUAAACCGACACAGGUGGGUGGGAUGAGUAUUCUAAGGCGCGUGGAAGAACUCUCUUUAAGGAACUCUGCAAAAUAGCACCGUAUCUUCGGUAUAAGGUGUGGUUAGCUUUGUAUUAGGAUUUACUCCGAAAGCAAGGAAACUUACAACAAAGAGUCCCUCCCGACUGUUUACCAAAAACACAGCACUCUGCUAACUCGUAAGAGGAUGUAUAGGGUGUGACGCCUGCCCGGUGCUCGAAGGUUAAUUGAUGGGGUUAGCAUUAGCGAAGCUCUUGAUCGAAGCCCGAGUAAACGGCGGCCGUAACUAUAACGGUCCUAAGGUAGCGAAAUUCCUUGUCGGUUAAAUACCGACCUGCAUGAAUGGCGUAACGAGAUGGGAGCUGUCUCAAAGAGGGAUCCAGUGAAAUUGUAGUGGAGGUGAAAAUUCCUCCUACCCGCGGCAAGACGGAGAGACCCCGUGGACCUUUACUACAGCUUGACACUGCUAUUUGGAUAAGAAUGUGCAGGAUAGGUGGGAGGCUUUGAGUAUAUGACGCCAGUUGUAUAUGAGCCAUUGUUGAGAUACCACUCUUUCUUAUUUGGGUAGCUAACCAGCUUGAGUUAUCCUCAAGUGGGACAAUGUCUGGUGGGUAGUUUGACUGGGGCGGUCGCCUCCCAAAUAAUAACGGAGGCUUACAAAGGUUGGCUCAGAACGGUUGGAAAUCGUUCGUAGAGUAUAAAGGUAUAAGCCAGCUUAACUGCAAGACAUACAAGUCAAGCAGAGACGAAAGUCGGUCUUAGUGAUCCGGUGGUUCUGUGUGGAAGGGCCAUCGCUCAAAGGAUAAAAGGUACCCCGGGGAUAACAGGCUGAUCUCCCCCAAGAGCUCACAUCGACGGGGAGGUUUGGCACCUCGAUGUCGGCUCAUCGCAUCCUGGGGCUGGAGCAGGUCCCAAGGGUAUGGCUGUUCGCCAUUUAAAGCGGUACGCGAGCUGGGUUCAGAACGUCGUGAGACAGUUCGGUCCCUAUCUGCCGUGGGCGUAAGAAGAUUGAAGAGAUUUGACCCUAGUACGAGAGGACCGGGUUGAACAAACCACUGGUGUAGCUGUUGUUCUGCCAAGAGCAUCGCAGCGUAGCUAAGUUUGGAAAGGAUAAACGCUGAAAGCAUCUAAGCGUGAAGCCAACUCUAAGAUGAAUCUUCUCUAAGCUCUCUAGAAGACUACUAGUUUGAUAGGCUGGGUGUGUAAUGGAUGAAAGUCCUUUAGCUGACCAGUACUAAUAGAGCGUUUGGCUUAUCUUUAAUAAAGCAU
RNAcentral lists this ribosomal RNA (1395 nucleotides) under Campylobacter jejuni. Its description in RNAcentral is "partial 23S ribosomal RNA". It matches the Rfam family "Bacterial large subunit ribosomal RNA", at positions 1540 to 2925 of the family's 2925-position model. The record is from RNAcentral. Lineage: Bacteria; Pseudomonadati; Campylobacterota; Epsilonproteobacteria; Campylobacterales; Campylobacteraceae.